RNAcentral lists this RNase P RNA (313 nucleotides) under unidentified bacterium SMB-A3. Its description in RNAcentral is "partial RNAase P". It matches the Rfam family "Bacterial RNase P class A", at positions 43 to 351 of the family's 367-position model. From Rfam's summary of the family: Ribonuclease P (RNase P) is a ubiquitous endoribonuclease, found in archaea, bacteria and eukarya as well as chloroplasts and mitochondria. Its best characterised activity is the generation of mature 5'-ends of tRNAs by cleaving the 5'-leader elements of precursor-tRNAs. The record is from RNAcentral.
GAGGAAAGUCCGGGCUCCGACGGGCAGGGUGCCAGGUAACGCCUGGGGGGCGAAAGCCUACGGAAAGUGCCACAGAAAAUAUACCGCCAAUGGCUUUGGCUGUUGGUAAGGGUGAAAUGGUGCGGUAAGAGCGCACCGCAUCACUGGUAACAGUGGUGGCAGGGUAAACCCCAUCCGGAGCAAGACCAAAUAGAGGAACCAAUACCUUAUGGGUAUUUGAAAGUGCGGCCCGCACUGUUCCUGGGUAGGUUGCAAGAGGUGUGCGGGGACGCACAUCUCAGAUGAAUGACUGUCCUUGACAGAACACGGCUUA